Triticum urartu is the source of this 124-nucleotide non-coding RNA. NCBI's taxonomy places the organism in Eukaryota, Viridiplantae, Streptophyta, Magnoliopsida, Poales, Poaceae. The record is from Rfam.
AAAAUACUCCCUCCGUCCGGAAAUACUUGUCCUAGAAAUGAAUAAAAUGAAUGUAUCUAUAACUAAAAUAAGUCUAUAUACAACCAUUUCCAGGACAAGUAUUUCCGGACGGAGGAAGUACCAA